This 788-nucleotide ribosomal RNA is filed under the name Thermococcus sp. CKU-199. RNAcentral's name for it is "bacterial SSU rRNA". It matches the Rfam family "Archaeal small subunit ribosomal RNA", at positions 507 to 1294 of the family's 1478-position model. Lineage: Archaea; Methanobacteriati; Methanobacteriota; Thermococci; Thermococcales; Thermococcaceae. The record is from RNAcentral.
GGCCUAAAGCGUCCGUAGCCGGGCCCGUAAGUCCCUGGCGAAAUCCCACGGCUCAACCGUGGGGCUUGCUGGGGAUACUGCGGGUCUUGGGACCGGGAGAGGCGGGGGGUACCCCUGGGGUAGGGGUGAAAUCCUAUAAUCCCAGGGGGACCGCCAGUGGCGAAGGCGCCCCGCUGGAACGGGUCCGACGGUGAGGGACGAAGGCCAGGGGAGCAAACCGGAUUAGAUACCCGGGUAGUCCUGGCUGUAAAGGAUGCGGGCUAGGUGUCGGGUGAGCCUCGAGCUCGCCCGGUGCCGUAGGGAAGCCGUUAAGCCCGCCGCCUGGGGAGUACGGCCGCAAGGCUGAAACUUAAAGGAAUUGGCGGGGGAGCACUACAAGGGGUGGAGCGUGCGGUUUAAUUGGAUUCAACGCCGGGAACCUCACCGGGGGCGACGGCAGGAUGAAGGCCAGGCUGAAGGUCUUGCCGGACACGCCGAGAGGAGGUGCAUGGCCGCCGUCAGCUCGUACCGUGAGGCGUCCACUUAAGUGUGGUAACGAGCGAGACCCGUGCCCCCAGUUGCCAGCCCUUCCCGUUGGGAAGGGGGCACUCUGGGGGGACUGCCGGCGAUAAGCCGGAGGAAGGAGCGGGCGACGGUAGGUCAGUAUGCCCCGAAACCCCCGGGCUACACGCGCGCUACAAUGGGUGGGACAAUGGGAUCCGACCCCGAAAGGGGAAGGGAAUCCCCUAAACCCGCCCCCAGUUCGGAUCGCGGGCUGCAACUCGCCCGCGUGAAGCUGGAAUCCCUAG